ACACUCAGAAUGAGAUGUAGCCACCUCUGAGAGAAAAAACAGUGAGUGCGUCAUUACCGGCCGUUUAAUUGUGUGCAGCAGGGCUACACAAACAAUCAAGAUAGGAAAGGAUUAGUCAGUCCACUGCAAAACUGCAGGUGGAGGUUUUUUUAACUGGUUUAUUUAUGUCCAGGUCCACAAAAUUUGGACAUUCCUUGGCUCAUCUUAAAAAUCUGAGACAAACACAGUUCUCUAGGGACAUUCUUUGCCCGGUAUUUAUUAUUUCAUUUUCUAGCAGAUCAAAACCCACUGCAACUUUGCAUUUGCUCCCAUUAGAAUCCUCCUGACUCCUCUCAGGAAACCAGAAGCGCACUUUGUAGCUGGUCAUAAAAGUCAACAAAUAAGAGAUGUUUUGAAAAACUUUGAUGUUUGAAGAAAUGGGUCUCAACAGAACCUUCUGGUUUUUUAAACAAACAUAAAUAUUUCAUGGAUGCCUCAAGGGAGCUGAAAAUCACUACUGUUCUCUGUGGGCUGAGUUCUGUAGUUGUGUUUUGUCUCCCACCAGGCAUUUAGCCCUCCAGUCUCUGAUGUUCUCCCUCACCACAACACAUGCAGUCCCGGCCAGCUCAUGAGAGCAGGCAGUGAGAGCACCGAAAUGACAGUUCCCACGAAGAAUCACAGCAGUGUUUCAGAGCAGAACAUUUCCUGAUUUUGAUUUUUCACCCCAAAGUUGACACUGCUCACAGGUGCCUUGUCCUGGUUCCCUUCAGGCCAAAUUCAAAGUCACUGUUUGAAUAUAACUAUGCACCAAAGUUGAGAGACUCAGUUAUCCCUGGGGACAGAAGGGAGAACAUGAUGUCCUGGUUGAGACUAGAGCCUGAUCCGUGGGACAGGGAAACCUGGAGGGACUCCAGACCAGUGAGCAGACAGAGAAGCGCUCUUGCACCUCGGUCACUAUCCAUUCGAGUGUCAGCAACUUUGGAUAAAGAGACAGCUGCUGCCUAAAACAAGCAGGUUUUCCAAAACUUCCUGAGCUGUACCACUCUUGCUGAUGUAGGAAACUAGUGCGACCAAACUCAGUGCAAGAUCUUACAGAAAAGGAAUAUGAUAUUUAUUUACAGAAUUUCCAAGUAAGUUGAUUUUGCCCACUCACACUCUCAUAGAUUUCAUUCACUCGCUCACUCACAAGCAAC
RNAcentral lists this long non-coding RNA (1172 nucleotides) under Apteryx rowi (Okarito brown kiwi). Its description in RNAcentral is "lncRNA (ENSARWG00000006017.1)". The record is from RNAcentral. Lineage: Eukaryota; Metazoa; Chordata; Aves; Apterygiformes; Apterygidae.